This 400-nucleotide ribosomal RNA is filed under the name uncultured bacterium. RNAcentral describes it as "bacterial SSU rRNA". It matches the Rfam family "Bacterial small subunit ribosomal RNA", at positions 356 to 773 of the family's 1533-position model. The record is from RNAcentral.
GGGGAACAUUGGACAAUGGGGGCAACCCUGAUCCAGCCAUGCCGCGUGAGUGAUGAAGGCCUUAGGGUUGUAAAGCUCUUUCGCCCGCGAAGAUAAUGACUGUAGCGGGAGAAGAAGCCCCGGCUAACUUCGUGCCAGCAGCCGCGGUAAUACGAAGGGGGCUAGCGUUGUUCGGAAUCACUGGGCGUAAAGCGUACGUAGGCGGGCAAUUAAGUCAGGGGUGAAAGCCUUGAGCUCAACUCAAGAACUGCCUUUGAUACUGGUUGCCUGGAGUCCGGGAGAGGUGAGUGGAACUGCUAGUGUAGAGGUGAAAUUCGUAGAUAUUAGCAAGAACACCAGUGGCGAAGGCGGCUCACUGGCCCGGUACUGACGCUGAGGUACGAAAGCGUGGGGAGCAAAC